RNAcentral lists this non-coding RNA (28 nucleotides) under Mus musculus (house mouse). The record is from RNAcentral. Lineage: Eukaryota; Metazoa; Chordata; Mammalia; Rodentia; Muridae.
UGGGCUACAAGUGAGACUGUCUCAAAAA